Acyrthosiphon pisum (pea aphid) is the source of this 1330-nucleotide long non-coding RNA. RefSeq lists it as uncharacterized. NCBI's taxonomy places the organism in Eukaryota, Metazoa, Arthropoda, Insecta, Hemiptera, Aphididae. The transcript has 3 exons. The record is from RefSeq and is a predicted model, not a curated record.
UUCUUUUUAUAUCAUAUUAUAAUAUAAUAUUUGAAUAUCAUUAUAAAUUAUUAAUCUACAAUGACAUUUAACGAACUUUAAUACUUGCUAUAGAAAAAAUACACUUAGGGUUGUUCUUAAAAUGUCCGAUUAAUUGUUGUUUAAUGCUAACCGGCUAAUAACAGAUUUUAUAACUGGUAGCAUUUCACCGGUUAACUGUCCGUUCAUUUUUAACGGCGAUGGUAAGAAUGGCCCUAAAAGAUACACAUUGUAUACCGAAAUAAGAGCUAACCCAAUCAAAAACAUCUCUACUAUCGAACCAAAAACAUCUUAAUAAAGCAGACAUAAAAUAUAUCAUCCAAAAGCUCCCACCAUAAUGAUACAUUAUCUUCAUUUUUCAAACUUAUAUUUUAUAAUUUAUUUUCCAGUCGAGAGUAAGAAACAUUUUUGAUUAUUUUUUUUUUUAAUGACAUAAUUUAUUUUUGUUUGAUAGUUUCUUGGUAAAUUUACAAUAUUAAUAUUUUUAUUUUACAUUGUUUUUUAAUGAAUUGGACAUCAUAUAAAAUACAAUAUUCAAAUCUGUGACACUCUUUAGAAAUUAGGCGUUAUAAAAGCUAUAAAGUAUGGGAGAGUGUGGAUAUUCCUGAAUGUACAUUAGUUCUCAGGUCAGCUACACAUACUUGCGAUUCCGAAAACGUUCUUAAUGUGGUUUGAUAUGUGCAAAUACAUUUUUCACACCUAAUCUAUCCUUACUAAAAUGGUUCCUUUAAACUCAGAUGUUCCUAAAAUAUGUUUUAAUUAUAAAUCUUUGCUGGCAGGCAAUUGAGUAUAGUUUAUAUUAUAUUUUAUUUUUACAAGCCGUGGAGUUAUUUUAAUAGUCAUACGUUACGAAAUAGUAAAGAAUAUACAAUAAACAAGUUAUUAAAAAAAUGAAAUUAAUAUACAAAUUAAGAUCAAAUUUAGAUUUUUAUUAUAACACUGGAAAGACCUUCAGACAUCGAAGCUCUUAAUAACUGAGCUAAAAUUAUUAUGACAUGGUAUAUCGCCCAAUUUGAGUAUCGUUUUAAUUAAUAAACUAUAAAAUUAAUGUAACAAUAAUUAUGAUACAUUUUAUAUAUUUUUUUUAUUUAUACAAAAAAUCCUUUGAUUUUAAAGUUCACAAUUGAAAAUAUUGUAAAUUUAUUCAGAAUUUUCAAAUAAAUCUUUAUAUUUGCUGCAUAAAUUAUAAUUUAUUAAAACUGUUAUAUAAUUAAUCUUAUAAUUAAUUACCGUCGGGUAUUUGAUUUCUAGGUAAGAUGUAUGACGCAGCUGAGAGUAAGAAACAUUUUUGAUUAUUUUUUUUUUUAAUGAC